Molecule: ribosomal RNA, 329 nt
Filed under: uncultured eukaryote
Lineage: Eukaryota
Description: partial 18S ribosomal RNA
Rfam family: Eukaryotic small subunit ribosomal RNA
Source: RNAcentral
CCCUUAGAUGUUCUGGGCCGCACGCGCGCUACACUGAUGCAUUCAACGAGUCUAAAACCUGCUCUGAUAGGGGUGGGUAAUCUUUUGAAUGUGCAUCGUGAUUGGGAUAGAUGAUUGCAAUUUUUCAUCUUCAACGAGGAAUGCCUAGUAAACGCAAGUCAUCAGCUUGCAUUGAUUACGUCCCUGCCCUUUUUACACACCGCCCGUCGCUCCUACCGAUUGAAUGAUCCGAUGAAUAUCAUGGAUUGAGGAUGCAAGUAGGUUCGCCUAUCUUCAUCUUCGAGAAGUGAAGUAAAUCUUAUCAUUUAGAGGAAGGAGAAGUCGUAACA